GGUAAGAUGGCCGAGAGUUAGGUGGUAGGUUGUAGCCCUAAUAACAGAGGUUCAAGCCCUCUUCUUACCA
Molecule: transfer RNA, 70 nt
Filed under: Telmatobius chusmisensis
Lineage: Eukaryota; Metazoa; Chordata; Amphibia; Anura; Ceratophryidae
Description: tRNA-Tyr
Rfam family: tRNA
About the family: Transfer RNA (tRNA) molecules are approximately 80 nucleotides in length. Their secondary structure includes four short double-helical elements and three loops (D, anti-codon, and T loops). Further hydrogen bonds mediate the characteristic L-shaped molecular structure. tRNAs have two regions of fundamental functional importance: the anti-codon, which is responsible for specific mRNA codon recognition, and the 3' end, to which the tRNAs corresponding amino acid is attached (by aminoacyl-tRNA synthetases). tRNAs cope with the degeneracy of the genetic code in two manners: having more than one tRNA (with a specific anti-codon) for a particular amino acid; and 'wobble' base-pairing, i.e. permitting non-standard base-pairing at the 3rd anti-codon position.
Source: RNAcentral